AGGCAUCUCGCUGUCUGCGCUGGGCACGGAGCGGCGCGCGCGCGCCCGUCUUUCCCUCGGCGGCCCCCGCGGCUCGGACCCGGGCCGGCAGACAGGCCAUCCAUCAUCCGCCCUCCUCCCGCGGAGCGCCGCAGCCGCCGCGGCCAAUCCGGCGGCAGGUGGGGCCGCACCUGCGCGACAGCCCGCCGCUUCCCUCCGCUCCCUUCGCCGCGCCUCGCGUGCUAGCGGUGCCCUUGUGAGCCACUGCGUUCUCCAAGGCCAGAACGGGACAUGGAUACUUCUAAUCAUCAAGGAAAGGGUACAAAUCAAACUGCUCUGAUGGCCUGAUUUGCACUUCUUCUACAGUUGACGAUGGUCGUACUUCUCCAUGUUCUGAGACCAGUUUAAACAAAAACAAAAACCAGACAACAACCUUGCAAGGGAAAGAAUUCAGAGUAAAUAAACAGUCUUUUUCUGGGAAGUAAAAUAUUUCCCUAAGAUGGAGAAAUUGAGAUGAGAGCUCAUCCACAAGAUUACCCAUCAAUGAGCACCAAUAGCAACCAAAUCCACUAGAAGACUGGGAGCUUUUAAGUCAAGAAACUUACAUCAGUAUCAUCAUUCCAAGAAGCGGUAUCCAAGCUGUUUUAUCGAAAGUGCGCAUGGGAGAAACCCCUUUCUGAGGCACAGACCCUGCAGGCUCUGAAGAAAUAGGAUAGAUUAUUGGGAUCUCAUCAGAGAGAGAGACAUCUUCGCCACUGCCAUGAAGUUUCAAGUACAGAACUCUUCCUCGUAAUCAAACUAUUUCUAUGAACAAUUCACUCAUCAUUGUGGGAAAGUCUAUUUUUCAUCUUAACACACAAACAGACAAUAACAAAAUUUGUGAUUUGGAUAAUCUGGAUCUGAUGUUCAUGCUCAAAAUGGAGGCAAUUCGUAAUACUGGUCUGAAGCAUUUAGUCAUUCACUGAGCAGAUACGUUAGGAGCAACAGGCAUGGGCUGUGUUUUUCUAGGCACUGUGAACACAGCAGUCAACGAAGUCAAAAACCUGUGCUCUUAAGGGACAUGAAUUGCCAAAUGGAAACACUAAGUUUUUCUAUUUAUGACCUAAAGCUAGUCAAAUAUCUCCAGAAGUAAGGUAGCUGAGUGAAGUGGUUCAUAAUCUUUCCAUGGGAGCCAAAUCCUCGGUGCUGUGACUCUUUUAGAUAAAUGAUAGUAAAAAUGAAUCAAAAGUUAAUUAGCUUGCACCUCAAUAAUCCAGUCUCCAUCACUGAUGGUCAUCGUGGAAUCUGCGUACAGAGGCAGCUGUAUACAGAUGACAGAGACAGCUCUAACACGUGACACAUUUAAGCACACAGAGGCGGAAGGACAUAAAGUUCCUGGUUGAUUUCCCUUUGGUGUUUGUGGGGAAAUAUCAAGGUCAUAAAAAGUCAGUUUCUAAUAAUCCCUCCAGUCCUCCAUUCCAUUCCCUAAUUUGUAUGCAAUGGCAUUUAACAUUUUGACUUUGCUUAAAAUAAAAUGUGUGUUUGUUUGAUGGUGCUGUGAGUGGGGAGUGAGUCAAAAACUCCGCUGGGGUGUACAAAAGUCUACUCAAAUGUCCACAGCAUCUGUGGGGGAUGGAGAAUAGUUGGAGGAUCUUUCUCCAGAAUCCUUCUGUUCUGUAGUACAAGUAUUACUCAUUAUAGACUAGCACGAAAAAUCAAGUGAAAUGCGAACUUAAGAGUUUAAAAAGAAUAAAUGGUGCUUUUCUGGCCUAUUAGUAGGCAGAUUUUGACUCCAAAAGUCCAGGAUGGGGCCUGAGGUUCUGCAUGUCUAACAAUUUCCCAGCUGAUGCCAAAGCUGCUGAUCAGAGUCUACACCUUAAGAUUAAAUGUGAAAAAUGGCCAAUCUGUCUAUCCUCUGGGUUCCCUCAACAACGCGGCCUCAUGAAGUACCUGCUGCCAUAUUGACCUCAGUACACACACAGAAGAGCCAAGGGAAUUGCUUCUUUGGGGACUGGAGAUAAGACUCUGAGAAUUUAUAGAAACAAACAUUAGAAGGCAGGAAUGUGGAGAGAAGAAAGCUACCUGACAAGGGAAUCUCAGGAUACAAGGAAAACACCAAGGAAUGUAAAUCUCUGUUUACCACAAGCCCUCCUCCAUCACAGAAACACAUCUCAACACAUCCAAGGUUAUGAGGAUGUGAGAAUGUCUUCGCUGCAUUAUUAUUUUUCAGCAUUGCCUCUGCUGACUUCAUGGGAGGAAUGGUGUUUCUUCUUCUCUCCCAUGUCAUGGAAGACACUCCUGAUGGCAUGUCUGUAGGUCUGUAGGAAAGAAUAAUCACCUCAGUAGCUUAGUGUGUGUAUGUGUGUGUGUGUGUCUGACACACUGUAGGUACAUAAUAAAGAUUUGAAAAUAUGAGUUUUUUUUAAUCCAAGCAGUGCCAUGUGUUUACUUGGAUUAGUAAUUGUACCAAUCUACAUUUUAAAGGUAAAACUAGCCAUUCAUUCUUUUGUUUCAGCAGUUGCCUAAUUUUAUUGUUUAAGUAUAAUGUGAGUGAAGGAAACUUCCUAGUUAGAAAUCUAUGAAUAUUAACUUCUUGUCUUCACUAACCAGAGUUGUUCUCAACUCAUAACACGUGGUUUGGUAAACCAUUUGCAAUGUAAACAUAGCAGAUUUUACUUGUAGUUUCAUAAUUUAGGCAGGUUGGCUCUGUAUUAUUUCUAGAAUCACAGGUAUCUGGAUGAAGAAUCACCAUUUUGUCAUUAGAGAUUACAACAAAUGUAGUUUAUUCUUUUUACCGGUAAUAUCAAUGUAAGCAAAAAUUAUACUUUUUAGCUAAGCAUGGUGAAGACACUUAAAGAAGGUGACAUAUGACCACAAGAAUUAAGAACAAACAGGGAAACAUGAUAUCACAAGAAAAAAAUAUGAAGCCAGUGACUAACCCUGAAGGGACAGAGAAGAAUGUACUGCCUGACAAAGAAUUCAACAUUUCUAUUUUAAAGAAGAAGUCCCCAUGAGUCCCUACAGCCACAAUAAAUUGAAUUCUGCCAAAAAUCUUAAUAAGCUUGGAAGAAGACCUUCAGCUCCUGAUGAGAACCCAGCCAGAAACAAGAUGAGAACCCAGAAACAAGAUUUUCAUCUUAUUUCAACCUGAGCAGAGAACCCAGAGGAGCCCUGGCCAGAUUUUUGGUCUACAGGAUUGAGAAGACACCUGCCUGAGGGUCUUAUAGCUAAUGGACUGCAGAAGACUUGAGUCAUCAUUCAAAUUCAGUAGCCAUCCUCUGAUGUCCAGUUGAAGAUUGGUGAUUCCAGAAUAGCUCGCAUUGCCCCAGUUGACUUGCCACACAGCUUCUUUCAGGACUUGAAAAUGUCCUAGCCACCCCCAUCUUACCUCCUACUUCCAAUGCCUUUUAAGAUAGAAAACAAAAAACAAAACAACAAAAAAACACCAGCCACCCUUGUGGGUUAGAUAAUCCUACAUCAAGGUGAAUUCUUGAUAACCAGUUCUGUUCUUCCUUAUGUCUUGUAAACAUGCUAAUUAGAAGGAGCUUGUGUUUGAAGAUCAAGGGAGGAAGAAUUCUGAAGCCAGGGCUAGCCUUAGGGGACAUAACUCCUUCCAGUCACUUCCUGAAUUUUUUGGUACCUGGCUUUUGAGAGUCCUCCAAAGUGAGAAUUUCAUGACAUGUAACCUCUCAACACCUGCAUUUUAAAAAAUUGUCCAAAAUACCGCAGAUACCACAGAAAAGUCCAAAACUUAAGUUUUUCCCUCCACUCAGAGCAUCUUAGCAACAUACUAACCAUAAGACUCUAAGCGCUCUUACCCUCAAUGCAAUUCUCACUGAAUAUCCUGUCAGGAGAACUCUACCUCUCUUCCAUGUUAUUAAGGUUAUUGUUCUUUGCAAGGUGUACACAACACAAAUAUAUUUCUUGGUGAAUGAACUCACUCUCAAAGACUGCUGUCCUUGGGGAUAUAGCCAACAUGCCAUAUCCACAACAUAGGUCUUCUUUACAGUCCUGUUGAAACAUGUAAGAUCAGCUACUAAGUCCCUGCAUCUCAGACAGGAACUUAAUAGAGUACAUUUAAAAAAAAAAUUCAGAAGUAAUUAAAACAAAUUGCAUACAAGCCACCUGUUUAGAAAGUUCAUAAAUUUUAUGCAAUUAUUUAUCUCUUUAUUUUUUCUGAAAUCAAGAGCAGAAUGUAUCCAAGUGAAACUAAAAGAGCGAGGUCAAGGGGAAACAACACAGGGCUUGUGGAGUCAUAAAUAUGUAUUAAAGCAGCAGAGUUAAUUUUGUCCCAAGUUCCAUAUUGGCCAGGAAAAAAGAAACAAGAUCAGCAGAGUUAACAGCUCUCAACCUGAAUAUGCCUCAGAAUUUCUAGGAGGACUUAAGUAAUGAGAUUCCUGGGUUUCUACAUGGACCAACUCAAUCAAACUCUUCAGGAGACAGCUGCUGUUGUUAGACUGUGUCUCCCAAAAUUCUUGUGUUGGAAACUUAGUUCCCAAUGUAAUGAUACUGGCAGGUGUGGCCUAGUGGGGGGUGUUUAGAUCAUGAGGGCUUCAGCCUCAUGAAUGGAUUAAUGUUGAUAUCUCAGGAGUGAGUUUCCUCUUGCUCUCUGUAGCCCUCUCUCUUGCCACAUGAUGACUUCCACCAGGUUAUGACUCAACAGGAAGGCCCUCACAAGAUGUGGAACCUCAAUCUUAGACUUCUCAGCCUCCAGAAGUGAGCCA
Molecule: long non-coding RNA, 4682 nt
Filed under: Homo sapiens (human)
Lineage: Eukaryota; Metazoa; Chordata; Mammalia; Primates; Hominidae
Description: long non-coding RNA NONHSAT171962.1
Source: RNAcentral